CAUAGGUUAAUGAGGCGAACCGGGGGAACUGAAACAUCUAAGUACCCCGAGGAAAAGAAAUCAACCGAGAUUCCCCCAGUAGCGGCGAGCGAACGGGGAGCAGCCCAGAGCCUGAAUCAGUGUGUGUGUUAGUGGAAGCGUCUGGAAAGGCGCGCGAUACAGGGUGACAGCCCCGUACACAAAAAUGCACAUACUGUGAGCUCGAUGAGUAGGGCGGGACACGUGGUAUCCUGUCUGAAUAUGGGGGGACCAUCCUCCAAGGCUAAAUACUCCUGACUGACCGAUAGUGAACCAGUACCGUGAGGGAAAGGCGAAAAGAACCCCGGCGAGGGGAGUGAAAAAGAACCUGAAACCGUGUACGUACAAGCAGUGGGAGCACGCUUAGGCGUGUGACUGCGUACCUUUUGUAUAAUGGGUCAGCGACUUAUAUUCUGUAGCAAGGUUAACCGAAUAGGGGAGCCGAAGGGAAACCGAGUCUUAACUGGGCGUUAAGUUGCAGGGUAUAGACCCGAAACCCGGUGAUCUAGCCAUGGGCAGGUUGAAGGUUGGGUAACACUAACUGGAGGACCGAACCGACUAAUGUUGAAAAAUUAGCGGAUGACUUGUGGCUGGGGGUGAAAGGCCAAUCAAACCGGGAGAUAGCUGGUUCUCCCCGAAAGCUAUUUAGGUAGCGCCUCGUGAAUUCAUCUCCGGGGGUAGAGCACUGUUUCGGCAAGGGGGUCAUCCCGACUUACCAACCCGAUGCAAACUGCGAAUACCGGAGAAUGUUAUCACGGGAGACACACGGCGGGUGCUAACGUCCGUCGUGAAGAGGGAAACAACCCAGACCGCCAGCUAAGGUCCCAAAGUCAUGGUUAAGUGGGAAACGAUGUGGGAAGGCCCAGACAGCCAGGAUGUUGGCUUAGAAGCAGCCAUCAUUUAAAGAAAGCGUAAUAGCUCACUGGUCGAGUCGGCCUGCGCGGAAGAUGUAACGGGGCUAAACCAUGCACCGAAGCUGCGGCAGCGACGCUGAUGCGUUGUUGGGUAGGGGAGCGUUCUGUAAGCCUGUGAAGGUGUGCUGUGAGGCAUGCUGGAGGUAUCAGAAGUGCGAAUGCUGACAUAAGUAACGAUAAAGCGGG
This 1118-nucleotide ribosomal RNA is filed under the name Escherichia coli. Its description in RNAcentral is "partial 23S ribosomal RNA". It matches the Rfam family "Bacterial large subunit ribosomal RNA", at positions 165 to 1321 of the family's 2925-position model. The record is from RNAcentral. Lineage: Bacteria; Pseudomonadati; Pseudomonadota; Gammaproteobacteria; Enterobacterales; Enterobacteriaceae.